RNAcentral lists this ribosomal RNA (524 nucleotides) under uncultured Nitrospira sp. RNAcentral describes it as "partial 16S ribosomal RNA". It matches the Rfam family "Bacterial small subunit ribosomal RNA", at positions 8 to 526 of the family's 1533-position model. The record is from RNAcentral. Lineage: Bacteria; Pseudomonadati; Nitrospirota; Nitrospiria; Nitrospirales; Nitrospiraceae.
AGAGUUUGAUCCUGGCUCAGAACGAACGCUGGCGGCGCGCSUAAUACAUGCAAGUCGAGCGAGAAGGUGUAGCAAUWCACUUGUAAAGCGGCGAACGKGUGAGGAAUACAUGGGUAACCUMMCCUCGAGUGGGGAAUAACUAGCCGAAAGGUUAGCUAAUACCGCAUWCGAUUCCGGAUCUUCGGUUCCGGAAGGAAASYGAUACCGURGKUAUCGCGCUCCUGGAUGGGCUCAUGUCCUAUCAGCUUKUUSGUGAGGUAACGGCUCACCAAGGCUUCGACGGGUAGCUGGUCUGAGAGGACGAUCAGCCMCACUGGCACUGCGACACGGGCCAGACUCCUACGGGAGGCAGCAGUAAGGAAUAUUGCGCAAUGGACGAAAGUCUGACGCAGCGACSCCGCGUGGGGGAUGAAGGUCUUCGGAUUGUAAACCCCUUUCGGGAGGGAAGAUGGAAUGGGUAACCAUUCGGACGGUACCUCCAGAAGCAGCCACGGCUAACUUCGUGCCAGCAGCCGCGGUAAUAC